This 3156-nucleotide ribosomal RNA is filed under the name Phoma sp. 1 OB-2014. RNAcentral's name for it is "large subunit ribosomal RNA". It matches the Rfam family "Bacterial large subunit ribosomal RNA". Lineage: Eukaryota; Fungi; Ascomycota; Dothideomycetes; Pleosporales; Didymellaceae. The record is from RNAcentral.
AACGAAGUGAAUUGAAGUAUCUUAGUAGCUUCAGGAAAAUAAAUCAAACGAGAUUCUAUUAGUAGUGUGAAUGAAAAUAGAUAAAGGCUUAAAGUAAAAUGGACACAUCUGUUUGAAUAUAGGGGAACCUUCCUCUAAGCCUUAAUAUAAUAUACAAGUAAUAGAGAAAAGUACUGUGAAGGAACUUUUGUAAGUAGUAGUCUUAUAAGCAGCUCGAGAUAAGUUUAAUAAACGUAUAAGAGCGUACCUUUUGUAUAAUGGGUCAGCAAGUUCUAGUUAGAUGCAAGCAAAUACUUAUUGUAAGUAAAAAACAAUAGAUUUGCCUAGAUAAUCCAAUUAUUAAGUAAUGAAUGAGUAUCUAAUUAGAGACCCGAAGAGUAGUGAUCUUACCAUGGUCAGGCUUAUAAAAGGCCGAAUGGGUUAUCGUUGUAAAGAUAUCCAAAGAACUGUGGUAAGUUAGUGAAAGACAAUCCUGACUACUAUAGCUGGUUUUCCGCGAAACAUAUGUAAGUAUGUAGUUUAAAUAACAUCAUAGCAGGUACAGAACUGUAAUCUCGGACAAUUUGUGCAUUUUCAUUACUAGGGGGAAACCUCUAGAGAAUGGUAAUGCCUUGUGCAUAUGGGGGGUCGUGAAGACUCUAUUCGCGAGUAUUUGCUCUCGGAAGGGCAAUGAUGAAUGUUGAACUAUCAGACAUUUAACGAUAAGGUUGUGUGUCAAAAGGGAAACAGCCCAGAACAAGUGUUUAAGGUUCCAAAGUUUUUGUUAAGUGAAAGUAAGGAAGUAUUUAAACGAUACAACCAGGAAAUAGGCUUAGAAGCGGCCAUUUUUUAAAGACCUCGUAACAGAGCACUGGUUCAAAAGGUUAGUAAAAUAACCUAUUUAGUUAAAAGCGCCGAAGAUAUAACGGAUCUAAACAAAACACCGACACCUUGUCCAUAAAAAUACUAGGUUACCUUUGCUCUUUAGAGCAAAAGGUAAUUCUAUGUACUAUACGUAAACACUAGUUACGUAUUAUUUAUGGGGUAGCGGAACAUUGGGUAAAUAGGACUAGAAACAAAGGAAAUAAAAAGGUAUUGUACUUGGGGGUGAAAAUACCACUAGCUGUAAAAAGUUAGAAAAUCCAUUAACCCUUUGCAACUACGGGAAAAAAAAGUUCAACCGUAGCUGCACCACAAAGCACUACUAUUAGUAAAUAAUAGCUAGGAAAAAGGGAAGUACAUAUGUUUAAAGAUAACUACAACGUAGUUUGAGCGCUAACUAGCGCUAGUCCAGUAUAUCCCAAGCGAGAAUGCUGACACGAGUAACGAAAAAGAGGAUGCCGAAUAGGACCUCUCGCCUAAAGCUUAUGGAAAAGUGAUUCGGUCUCUAAAUUUAACCUAAAGGAUAAAAUGAUGAGAAGAUUAGAUGUGACAACAUAAAUAAAUAGAGUAAAAUGUUCUGGAAAAGCAGAUAAUCUAAAUAAGGAAAAAACGGUAAUAACCGAAAAAAAAACGAAAAAAACUAAUAAGAAUAAAUUUUCCUUAACAAUUAAAAUAAAAAACCGUACCUAAAAACUACCACAAGUAAGCUAGUAGAGAAUACGAAGGCGUUUGAGCUAACAAUCAUUAAGGAACUCGGCAAAAUGACACCGUAACUGAGGGAAAAGGUGUGCCAUUCCUACUGAUUAAUAUCAGUUUAGGAAGAGGAGACAUAAAAUGGUGUUGCACGACUGUUUAAUUAAAACACAGCACUUUGCGUAAGAUGUAAAUCAAUGUAUAGAGUGCGCUAUCUGCCCAAUGAUGGCUGGUUAACGGAUUUGCUUAAAUGAAAUACUUUAGGUUUUGAAGGAACCCCCAUUGAAUGGCGGCCUUAUCUAUAAGGGUCCUAAGGUAGCGAAAUACCUUGGCAUUUAAAUGAUGUCGCGCAUGAAUGAUCCAACGAUGCAACAGCUGUCUCAAUGAUUGGCUCAGUGAAACUGGAAUGGCAGUGAAGAUACUGCCUAUCUCUAGAUAGACGAGAAGACCCCAUGCAGCUUUACUGUUACUAGUUAUAGGGUAUAAUGAACAGGUUUUAGAGAAUAAGGUAGUUGCUACGACAUAAUUGAAACACCUUUACUCUGGUUGUUAUAUCAGUAGAAGAGGUCAUAUAUUUAUAUAUGACGUCUAAAUGUAAUCCGUAAAAGGAGAGGAUCAUUAGAUUCCUCUCAGGAGACAAUGGCUAGCAGAUGGUUUAUGCGGGGCACAGAUCCCAUAAAGAGUACCUGGGAGUAUCCAAAUUUAUUUUUGUAAUAUGCUAUACGCAAAUUAUAUAAAGCUUUAUUAAACCAUUGCUUUAUAUGGUUUGAUUUUUUAAAUUACUAUAUGUAGUUUGUUAUUUUUUAUAUUUACUUUUAAAGUAUCUAUAACGAAUUCAGUUAUAUUUCUAUUUAAGUUAGAACUAAACAAUUUAAUAUAAGUAAGAUUUUACCUAUGUGGAAAAUAGGUGUAUAGAUAAUAGUAAUAUUUACUAUUAUUGGUUAUUUUUUAGGAAAAUGAUAUUGAUAUAUACUUCCAAAGUUUAAUGGCUUAAUCUUGCUUUACUGUUUGACAUACACGUCUAUCAGUUGCGUAAGCAGGGCAUAAAGACCGCAAGACGCAGUAAGGAAAGGUCUUGUAUUAUUGAAAAAGCUACGCUGGGGAUAACAGGCUAAUUGCGCAAGAGAGUACAAAUUGAGUGCGCAGUUUGGCACCUCGAUGUCGGCUUAGCUCAUCCACAUGAAUGCAGGAAUCAUGAAGGGUACGACUGUUCGUCGAUUAAAGAGCUACACGAGCUGGGUUAAAUACGUCGUGAGACAGUAUGGUUUCUAUCUUCUAGAGGAAAUUAGAGUAAAAUAAGGAUAGCCCCUUCGUACGAAAGGAGUUGGGUAUGGUAACCUAUGGUUUACCUGUUGUUUAUACGCUUAAUAUUAACCUGAUAAAAUUACGGUGAGAAUAGGUGCUACUGAAUAAGUAGAGUAAUAAAAAUGAGAUUGACUCAUUUCCUAUUGGAACUAGAAAUGGUAAUACUUUUAUACUCAAGUAUUUAUGAAUAGUAUAGGCACGGCAGGAAAGCUAUGUUAGUUAAGAUAAGUGCUGAAUGCAUUUAGGCACGAAGCUUACCUUAAGAUACUCUUAGAAACGUAGUAUAACAUUACGAAU